GGCUCAGUGGUCCAAUGGUUAAGCGCUCGUUGCGGAGCUAGAGGGUCCUGGGUUCGACCCCCAACAGGGUUG
Molecule: transfer RNA, 72 nt
Filed under: Schistosoma japonicum
Lineage: Eukaryota; Metazoa; Platyhelminthes; Trematoda; Strigeidida; Schistosomatidae
Description: tRNA-OTHER
Source: RNAcentral